This 157-nucleotide ribosomal RNA is filed under the name Schizophyllum commune. Its description in RNAcentral is "5.8S ribosomal RNA". It matches the Rfam family "5.8S ribosomal RNA". From Rfam's summary of the family: 5.8S ribosomal RNA (5.8S rRNA) is a component of the large subunit of the eukaryotic ribosome. It is transcribed by RNA polymerase I as part of the 45S precursor that also contains 18S and 28S rRNA. RNAcentral also lists the same sequence under 2 other names. The record is from RNAcentral. Lineage: Eukaryota; Fungi; Basidiomycota; Agaricomycetes; Agaricales; Schizophyllaceae.
CAACUUUCGACAACGGAUCUCUUGGCUCUCGCAUCGAUGAAGAACGCAGCGAAAUGCGAUAAGUAAUGUGAAUUGCAGAAUUCAGUGAAUCAUCGAAUCUUUGAACGCACCUUGCGCCCUUUGGUAUUCCGAGGGGCAUGCCUGUUUGAGUGUCAUU